This 2410-nucleotide long non-coding RNA is filed under the name Homo sapiens (human). Its description in RNAcentral is "HSALNT0213057". The record is from RNAcentral. Lineage: Eukaryota; Metazoa; Chordata; Mammalia; Primates; Hominidae.
AAGGGGGAGUCAGGAGCGAUUCAUUUCAAGGGGGCUUGGGGACAAUUCCGGUUUGGUUUUCUGAAAAUGCGUAGGGUUGUUUUCCCAAACUUCCGAGCUACUCUGCUCUUCGUCCCAGGAAGGCCAAGCAAAUAAAAGUCCGGGGAAAGUUCCUUUAACUUCCUUCCUGCGCCCUCGACAAGGGCUGCGAAGAGGAAGAGGUCAUUUCCCAGGGAAGCACCGGGCAGGGGCCGAGAGCUGCGCCCAGCCUGCAGGGAUGGAGGCGCUGGGCGGAGGGCUGGCUGCAGACGUAGGCCCCGGAAAGCCCCUUCCCCCCACCCUACCUCAGGCCAACGGCGCCUGGAGCUGGCCCCGCUGCAGCCCUUGCUGUUUGAAGUCCCGCGGCAAAGCGGCGACAACACCGGCGCAGCCCGGCGCCCCGACCCCGGCCGCCGAGCUCCCUCCCUGCAGCACCCCGGCACCCCAGCGCCCGGCCCAACCCGGCCCGCCACAUCCGCGCCCGCGCGGCCCAGCCCGAGCCCCGGAACGAUUCCGAGCCCCACGCCGGCGCCCGGUGGCGGGAGGGGGCGCCGAGCCCGCGGCUUACCUGCGUGCUGGAUCCCCGGGCUGCUCGGAGGGGUGCGGGGCGCAGGCGAGUGCGGCCCGCAGACUCUAACUUUGUUGCUCUCGGGACGGCGCAGUCGUCACUUCCUCGCGGAGCGGGCGGUGCGGCCCGGGCUGUGCGGCCCGGGCUGUGACCCAGCGGCUCGCGCGGUGGCGCGCAGGGCCCUGCAGCCAGCCGCCCCGCCCGCGCCCCCGGCUCCGCGCGCCCCUGGCCCCAGGCGCCGUCUCCCCACUCUGCGCGCCCUCGGCUGCGGGGUAGCGGGCAGCCCUGCGCUGCCGGCCGCCUAGCCUGCACCCCCCGCCCUGGGAGGGAAGCCUCGCUCCAGCCGCGUCGUUUCCGCGCCGAAGUGCGAUCCGGGGCCCCGCGCUGGAGUCCCCUGCUCUCAGGUGGCAGUUGCUGGAGUACCAGGGCACCAAGUGGAGGAUGUGGUAGACAGCCUCUAAGAUGCGCCCCCUGCCAAUGAUCUCUGCCUCCAGGGAGGAGCUAGAAGGCAGAGAGAAAGCCACUCAGGACUUCCCAUCCCAGAAGAUAAAGGUGAGGAAAGCAGCAGCAGCAGCCACAGGCCAGUAUUCCAGAGCAGCUUUGGGUUCCUGUCAAGACCUGCUUUGAGAAGGAGGUGGCUGUGGGGCUGGAGGGCUGGGCCUGUUCCUGAGCUGGCUGCUGGCAGCACAGCAAUGAGGCAACAUUGAGAACUGCGACACGAGGCCCAGUCCUGCUACUAAACCAACUGUGUGGACUUGCAUAGUCACUUCACCCCUCGGGCCUCCAUUUCUCCACUUUGGAAAGCAGUGUUGGGACGAUGUUAAGGGUUUGCAACCUUCCAACAUGAAGACUUAUUUUUAAAAGCAAAACAUUUCAAAGAGUCCACAUGACAGUAGUGUUCAUUUUGGCAUCUGUUGAUUUAACAAAUACAAAAUUAGGCUGGGUGUAGUUGCUAACGCCUGUAAUUCCAGCACUUUGGGAGACCGAGGCAGGAGGAUCACCUGAAAUCAGGAGUUCGAGACCAGCCUGGCCAACAUGGUGGAACUCCAUCACUACCAAAAAUACAAAAAUUAGCUGGGCUUGGUGGCACGUGCCUGUAAUCCCAGCUACUCGGGAGGCUGAGGCAGGAGAAUCAUUUGAACCCGGGAGGCAGAGGUUGCAGUGACCUGAGAUUGCACCACUGUACUCCAGCCUGGGCAACAGGGCAAGACUCCAUUAAAAAAAAAAAUACAAAAUUAGGCAUGGUGGUGUUCGUCUGUAGUCCCAUCUAUUUGAGAGGUUAAGGCGGGAGGAUCACUUGAGCUCAGGAGUUUGAGUUUGCAGUGAGCUGUGGUCUGCCUGUGAAUAGCUGCUGCAGUACAGCUUGGGCAACAUAGUGAGAUUCCAUCUCUAGUCUUUAAAAAAAGGAAAAAUACGGCCGGGCGCGGUGGCUCACACUUGUAAUCCUAGCACUUUGGGAGGUCGAGGAGAGAGGAUCACCUGAGGUCAGGAGUUCGAGACCAGCUUGGCCAACAUGGCGAAACCCAUCUCUACUAAAAAUACAAAAAUUAGCUGGGUGUGGUGGCGCACGCCUGUAAUCCUAGCUACUCAGGAGGCUGAGGCAGGAGAAUUGCUUGAACCAGGAGGGAGAGGUUGCAGUGAGCCAAGAUCGUACCACUGCGCUCCAGCUUGGGCAACAUAGAGAGAUCCCAUCUCUAUUUUUUUAAAAAGGAAAAAUACAAGGGAUACCAGAGCACUGGGCCAGUGCUUGUUAUAAAGUCCAUCAAUGGGCCAGGCACGGAGGCUCACACCUGUAAUCCCAACACUUUGGGAAGCCGAAGUGGG